Molecule: long non-coding RNA, 1553 nt
Filed under: Nicotiana benthamiana
Lineage: Eukaryota; Viridiplantae; Streptophyta; Magnoliopsida; Solanales; Solanaceae
Description: long non-coding RNA (NBEN_LNC013551)
Source: RNAcentral
UUGUCAAACUGGAAAUGUGAAAGUCAAUUGCAAUUUGUCGUCACUUAGUAUAAAAUUUUUUCCCAACUAAUACUUUUGAGUUGCUAUUGUUAAACACUUCAAUUGCUGUUGUUAUGAUUGCGAGUCAAUUAUUCUGUUGGGAACAAUUAUUAGUUUUGUGUGAGGCGUAUUGUUGAUGAUUUUGAGAUGAGUGUAUGUGAGACAUGUUAUUGUCGAUAUAUAAUCCACUGGUUGAGUUGGGAGAUGGCAUGAGAGAUACUCUUGAAUCAGAUUGAUUUAUUUAAAAAAAGUGGAUAUUGUUGACUGGUGGAGCUCUUUCUUUGACCUUAUUUUCUUUGCAAAGUGUUCAUUUUGACGAGGAUUACUUUGAACAUAUAGAUGUAUUGCUACUACUGUAUUCCCUCUUAAUUUAAUAUUUGUGAAAAUUAGCUUCCACAGAUAUUUAUUAACAAAUUUGUUUCUCAUGUUCACAUUUCAUUUUAAUUUUUUUUAAUUAAUUGAUUUACUUGGAUUUACGAAUAGCAUUUGUACCAUCUUGGUACCUUUUUUACUUAAUAAAGUUUUACCUUAUCAAGAAAUAACUUGGAUUUACUAAUCGAUAAUAUUGACCUCAUAAAGUUGGGCUAUCACGUGAAACGGGAUUGAGGCUGUAUGUUCUGCUGUCGACCUGUAUCAGAGAUCCUCCAAUGGAUAGUGUGGGGUUCAUGAUACUCAAAGGAAAAUGUAAAUUGAUGCAUUACAGAAAAAAGGUUCACAUAGUUUCGCUCCUACUUCUAGGACACCUGUCAUUGGGCAGGCGCUCUUUACAUAUUAUUGUUGGUUUCUAUUGGCUCAUUUUUUUUACCUAUCGGAAAAAGGUUUUAUUGUAUAUUACUUAUUUGUUUCAUUUUUUCUUCCUAUCUAUUUUCAGAUGAAACAUUUCAUAGUGUCAACAGUGACCUGAGGGAGUUGCCCCCGGGCAUGCUUGACACCAACAUAGACACUCGUCACCAUACCUAUACGUCGUACUCAACAAAUAUCACAUUGCAAAUAUGACUCGACUCCUAAUCCCUCAAGCUAAGGUUAGACCAAGCACUGACCUCGAACUUCCACGUCCAACUCAAGCCUAAACACCGCUUUUCCUUUUGAAUUUGGCUUCAAAUCAAUUAUAUCUAAACAUAAUCGACUUAAUAACAUCAAUAAACGCUAGACAAUUCAAUUCCAAUGCUUAAUUAUAGAUUUCCUAUCAUUCUUCCCAAAAAGUCAAAAAUCAACUCCGGACCUACUUGGUUAAAAGACGAGGCUCGGAUCAAAACCCGAUCACUCAUUCACCCACGAGCCCGAAUAUGUAUUUAGUUUCGAAAUCCGACCCCAAAAUUAGGUCUAAAUUCCAUUUAUACAAAAAGCCCAAACUCUAUCCAAUUUUCUACCCUUAAGAACAUGAUUUAGGCCUAGAAAUCUAAUAGAUGUUUAUGGAAAUUGAAGAAAUAAGUAUAAGAUUACAUACCUAUGAAUUUGUGGUGAAGUUCUCUUUUAAAAAUCGCUCAAUUUGGAGUUUGGAAGGAAAAGUUAUG